This 621-nucleotide ribosomal RNA is filed under the name Staphylococcus aureus. Its description in RNAcentral is "partial 23S ribosomal RNA". It matches the Rfam family "Bacterial large subunit ribosomal RNA", at positions 343 to 966 of the family's 2925-position model. The record is from RNAcentral. Lineage: Bacteria; Bacillati; Bacillota; Bacilli; Caryophanales; Staphylococcaceae.
UGGAAAGAUGAAUCAAAGAAGGUAAUAAUCCUGUAGUCGAAAAUGUUGUCUCUCUUGAGUGGAUCCUGAGUACGACGGAGCACGUGAAAUUCCGUCGGAAUCUGGGAGGACCAUCUCCUAAGGCUAAAUACUCUCUAGUGACCGAUAGUGAACCAGUACCGUGAGGGAAAGGUGAAAAGCACCCCGGAAGGGGAGUGAAAUAGAACCUGAAACCGUGUGCUUACAAGUAGUCAGAGCCCGUUAAUGGGUGAUGGCGUGCCUUUUGUAGAAUGAACCGGCGAGUUACGAUUUGAUGCAAGGUUAAGCAGUAAAUGUGGAGCCGUAGCGAAAGCGAGUCUGAAUAGGGCGUUUAGUAUUUGGUCGUAGACCCGAAACCAGGUGAUCUACCCUUGGUCAGGUUGAAGUUCAGGUAACACUGAAUGGAGGACCGAACCGACUUACGUUGAAAAGUGAGCGGAUGAACUGAGGGUAGCGGAGAAAUUCCAAUCGAACCUGGAGAUAGCUGGUUCUCUCCGAAAUAGCUUUAGGGCUAGCCUCAAGUGAUGAUUAUUGGAGGUAGAGCACUGUUUGGACGAGGGGCCCCUCUCGGGUUACCGAAUUCAGACAAACUCCGAAUGCCAA